Long non-coding RNA from Oreochromis niloticus (Nile tilapia), 654 nucleotides. RefSeq lists it as uncharacterized. NCBI's taxonomy places the organism in Eukaryota, Metazoa, Chordata, Actinopteri, Cichliformes, Cichlidae. The transcript has 2 exons. The record is from RefSeq and is a predicted model, not a curated record.
UUCUUUUCAGAUCUGUUGUGUCCAAGAAGGGUUUUCUAAGCUUCAUGGAGCCUCGCUCUAACUCAUGGGUGAAGCAUUUUGUGGUUGUUCGCCGGCCCUACGUCUUCAUCUACAACAGCGACCAGGACCCCGUGGAGCGAGGUGUCCUCAACCUCUCCACAGCACAGGUGGAAUACAGCGAAGACCAGCAGGCCAUGCUUAAGGUUUGAGGCAGGAUAGAGAAAGGCUGGAUGUUACACACUUGUCUUUAAUGAGAAUUCAUUCAAAUUGUUUUGGUGCACAUUGGCCAGUUUUGGACACAUUGAUUGAUGAAAUGGCAAAUGGACUGGGAUUUAUCAUUUGAAUGAACAAAAAUAUGGAGGCAUCCUCCUGCAGGCCAACAACGAGAACGACAUGAACGACUGGCUGUACGCUUUUAAUCCUCUGCUAGCAGGAAGGAUAAGAUCUAAGCUGGCGAGGCGGCGCACCGGCCUGACGAAGAACUGAGCGGGCGGAGCGGUUCCACUGUCAUCCACGUCAUACUUAGAUCCUCCUCAAUCUGUGUACAUACGCCGCCUCUAAACCCCCGAUAGUGCCAGUGUCAGUUAGUGAGUCAGUAAAAUACUCAUGCAUUUGUGUUAACAUAAAAACUGCAGACUAACUAGAGACAAACAA